Molecule: long non-coding RNA, 1910 nt
Organism: Girardinichthys multiradiatus
Lineage: Eukaryota; Metazoa; Chordata; Actinopteri; Cyprinodontiformes; Goodeidae
Exons: 2
Source: RefSeq, a predicted model, not a curated record
AUCAGAACAUGCUGGACAGUACAGUUUGGUUGUGAAAGGAGUCACAAGGUUUCUUGUCAACUUGGUGACAACUUAUACACAGCCGGGUUGUAAAUGGCAGUACACCGCUGGUCGUUUUUGGCAGCUGUGCUGUUCCUGGCUUCCUUGGAUCGGUGGUGCUCCUCUUCCUCACCUCCAUGUCCUAAGUCCUGCACCUGUCAGAGAGCUCCACUGCUGAACUGCUCUUCAUCUGGCCUGUCCUCAGUCCCGCAGCUCAUCCUGGACUCGAUCACUGAGCUAGACUUGUCUCAUAACUUUCUCAGCUCUGUAACUUUUCAUCAACCACAUCCCAACCUCACGAACCUAUGGCUGGGAAACAACAGCAUCCCACACUUGUCUCUCUGUAUAGAGAGAACCGUUAAGGGUCGACAUCUAAGGCUUCGCUCAGAAACUGGGAUUGGAUCGAGAUGCCUGGUCUGGGCCCCCACCCUGCAGCUGCUAUCAGCUGAGAGGAAUCAGCUAGAGCAGCUGCCAGAGGGUGAGUCAGUGUAAUAUAGUCAUAUAUCCAUCCAAAUUAAACACGAUCAAGCUGCCUAAAUGACCAAAGUCCUGAAAAAAGUUGUUUAGCCUUAGUUGCUCCUGUAGCUGGAUAUAUAAUACAUGUUGUUUUAUAUGUUGUUUUAUUUUGUGCAUCAAGUUACCAACGUUUGAACAUAUAACCAUAUUUAAUCUUAUAAAUUAAACCUAUGGUGAAUUCCUUUAAAUAUGCACUUUUUAUUCAGUCACUCUGAAAACAAUUGCAUCAAUAUUUACAAGUUAUGUGUUUAUAUAUUAAAUAUAUUAUAUGUGUUUAAAGUGAAAUACCCAACUAUAACCCUUAGACAGAAUUAAAUAUACAGUGUCAGUGUCAUAUUUGUUGGCACCCCUGACAAAGAUGACUAAAAGGCCUUGAAAGAAAUUCAUCUUUUAUUGCAGUUGCAUUUCAGAAAAAUCUAACCUUUAAUAUUAAGUGUGGAAAUAAAAUUCCCUAAUAAGAAAUACUUGUUUAGAACAAAACCACCAGUGGCAGUUAUUGGUUUACACAACAACCCGUUAAAAGUAAAAGUAGCUAAAGCAUUUUCUAAAUAUAUAUGUUGUGUUUUAAAGAUGAUCAGGGUUUCUAGGAACAUUCAAUUAGUAAUCCCUGACUUUAAGCUCACUGUCAUAGAACGACAGCAAAGAGUCACAGAAUCGACCAAGAGAGGACCCAGACUGAGCAAAGAAGAAUGGUCAAAGAUCCCUCUCUCUGUAUGUUUCUAUUUUGUGAAAUCCUAUAGGAGACUAAGUGCUCUCCUACUUGCCGCCUGCUUAAUUAAAAACUGAAUUUUUAAUUUUUUCUGCUAUUGCAAUAGGAAUUAAUUUUAAGACUUUUUUAUACAUCUUUAUCAGAAGUUCCAAUAAAUGUGUCCAACACUUUAUAGGAAGCACUUGAGUGCAGAAUCCUGGGUAAGAAGGAUGAUGGCCAUAACAAUGCAAAAUAUAUAUAUAUAUCUUUUAAAACAAUCAAACAUGCUUUCCUGCAGAAAUCUGAAACUCAGUGGCUGACUUAUCAAUGAACAAUCAGUGUACAGUUCAAGCUGAAUGAAAACUUAAGUGUAAAACCACUAUGUGAGUUAAUAUAGACCCUUUUCAGGGCUGUUGCCAACAGGAUUGUGAAAUAUUAGUUGAUGAUUGGCAUAUGAAUGACUAUGAAUAAUGAUUAAACAGGCAUUUUAUAUUUAUUUUCAUGCCAUAGAACAUACCGUUUAUCAACUAAAUAAUUUACACAACCCUCAUUAAGAAAUAACAUUGAAGUUUAACAUCUUUAUGAGAAACAAGUCAAAGGAGAUUUUUUUCCCUAAAGUCUUUCAAUUGGAAAUUCAAAAAGUAAAAAUAAAUACUUUAUAUAAGUU